Molecule: RNA transcript, 2908 nt
Organism: Spinacia oleracea (spinach)
Lineage: Eukaryota; Viridiplantae; Streptophyta; Magnoliopsida; Caryophyllales; Amaranthaceae
Exons: 5
Source: RefSeq, a predicted model, not a curated record
UUCCCCCUUCUUUCUCUUUUCGGGUACAACCAUCAACCGUACAACAUUUGCCUCCCUUUGAAAUUGCAUAGUCAAACACCCCCAAUUCAGCAAACUCCCAUGAUCAAUAGCAACAACGACCAACCAUGAUCAAACCAAACCCGUUUACGCCCAGAAAUUAUCUUCUCAUCCUUCUCUAAUUUCUUCAAUUAAUCCAGAAAAUCAAAUACAAUUCCCAGAAAACAAUCAAUCAAAACACAACCCCAAGAACAAACAGAACCAAUGGGAUCACUCGCAACCCAUUUCUCGACGUUUCUAUUCAUCUUCCCAGUUGGAUUUCGACGCUUACAUUCCUCUUUCUCCCUCUUCCUCAAAGACCCUUCUCUAUACCGCUCAAAACCCUGGUUUUUCACCGACCCUAAAUGGAAAAACUUCGACCUUUAUGCCCUUCUGAUUGCCCUACCCAUUGCUGCGUUUUCAGACCUUUUUCUUUUUCUCUCAUUUUCAGGCCACCCCUCUUACAAAUUCGCCUUCCUUCAAAAUGGGGCAGUCAUUUUCCUCUUCUGGGUACUUUUAAUUCUAAUUAUUUUGAGAGAAAAUCAUGACUUUUUGGUGAUUAAUGAUAGUUUUCUGUUUCUUUUAUCUGGGGUUUUCUUUCUGGUUGAGUAUUUCAUCAAUGGGAAUGGUUUUACUGGUGUUAGUAGCAAUGUGUAUGAUUUACUUGGUGGUUUAACCCUGGUUUGUGCCUUUUCUUGCUUGUAUUUGUCGAUUAGGCCUACCUCCUUUUUGGCCGACUUUUUGCUGUCUAGUGGGAUGGUUUUUAAAGGGACUUGGGUGUUACAAGCUGGGUUGAAUUUGUAUACUUCUACAUUUGGGUUGAAGGGUUGUCAGGAAGUGUCACUUUUGCCUAAUCAAAUGAAUGUUGAUGUUAAGUGUGAUCUUGAUGAGGAUAGCUUGAGGGGUAUUGCAUUGAUGAAGUUGUUGUUUGUGUGGCAUGCUAUUAUGGUUGUAAUUGCUUGUUUUGGGUUGUUUGGAUUGUUGUCAUGUAAGGAGAAUUUGAGAUGUGGCGAGGGCAGUGGACCGUUGUUGGCGCAAAUUGAGUCUCACAGUAUGCUAUUGCAGCAGCUUCCUGAAAUUGAACUGGAGUUGUAGAGGUUCCAGUUCGUGUAUCUACCCAUGAUGAGGAAGAAAUGAGGUUCUGUGGAUAGGGAUUCGAGGAGGGUUUCUUCUCUGGAGUGCAUGAAGAAAUUUCAAGAAUCUAGGUUUUUCUUAAGCUUUCAAGCUUCAAUCAAUUGCGGAAGACUGUGAGGAUCAGAGAGCUCUGGUACCAAGUUCCCUGCAUGAAUUCAUCAGAACUUGACAGAAAUAGAAGAAGAGAGAUAUAGAAUUCAAAGUUUAGAGAGAGAAAGAGAGAGAGGAAGAAAGGACUUGAUGAUGAAUGAAUCCUUACAGUAAGCAUAAGCUCGAAUUUAUACAACUCUAUACAUCAAAGUCAACUAUUGCCAACAGAAAAUGCACAGUCAACAUUGUAACAGAAAUCCUGUUAUUUUAACAGUUUUUGGCGCCAAAAACUGUUUGGCUGGUUUACAACAACUAAGUCUCUUAUCAUGAUGAGAUAUAGAUGGACUAGAAGGAAAAGCCUUUAUAAAGACAAAUGAUUGAGGGAAUGAGUUUAGCCUAGCCUUCUCAAAGGAUUAAUUAUGUCAAACAGGAGAAGGAAAGUCAUGACUUGAGUGCUCCUUCCUUAUUUUGAUGCGAAUUAAUUAUGCUGAGAGUCUAAGACAAGAUGUCUUUCUGGAAGCUGAACUGAAGAGCAUUGACAAUAUCAAACUUUGUUGAAGUGCUGAGAGAUUGUCUGCAUAAAAUGUGAGGUUGGCAAGCAGUGACAGAGGAAAUGGUUAUGUAAAGUUGCAACACUUUCCUUCAAAUAGAGAGAAGUGUUCCUCACACUUCUAGAACAAUUUGGUAGAGGAGAGACUCAGGGAACUCUGAAUACAAGAUUAUAGCAUCUCCUAUUUCCAUCUGACACGAAAUCCAGAGUGGAAUUUGGGGGUAGAAAACCAUUGGGAGCGAAGGCCAAAGUUACGGUUCUUAAUCUGAUGAUGGAUUCUCUUGAUCUUCUUGUUCAAUUCACUGAAUCCGUGAAUUCUAAUCCGGUAUUUCAUUCUCUUUAUCUUCCUCUUGAAAUCACCAUAAUGUUUUCUGAAUCUUGAAGAGCUAACAGGCUUUAUUUUCCACCCGCAUCCUGUAUUUCAGUAGUUGCAUAAUGCAUAACUUGUUUUUUUCUUGUGAACUUGUGGUAUCAAAUUUUUACAGCUUGUCCCAUAUAAAAAAUAUGGACAUGACAUAAAAUGCUGUGUUUGGAGUCUUUUGGUUUGAAGUGAGCUACGGACUACUUUAUACUGUUAUUUUAAUUUUCCUUAUGUAUAAACUAUAGACUAAUCAUAACAUGAAGUUUUCAGAAUUUGACUCAACCCAAAACAUACCUCGAAUUUUCUGUUCAUGGUCAUCUUCAUCUAGGUCAGGUUUAUGCAAGAUCUGCAACAGAUGAUGACAAAAGAAAUCAUCUAUUUGUCAAUAAAACUGCAUAAACUUUGCUUCAUACUCAAUUUAAAAAUAAAAUAAAAAUUCCUUCAAAUUGGACAAGCUAAAGAGAUUCUGAAAGAAGUAAGAUAUGAUUGUAGUGUUUCUACCUUGACCAAAUCUUCCAACCUCCCCCUCAUCUUUCUUUGAAUGAAUCCCUUGGUGCUCUGCAUUAAUCCUUUCGUUAUAAUCAAGAUUUGAAAUUUACCAUUGUCUAAAUCAGUAGGAGGCUAGGAGCUACUAGAAGUUGUACCUUUAUAUAAGAUUUAACAUAGUUAUAGAAGUUCAGCAGAUUCCACACAGUUUUAUCUAGUCUUUUAUCAUCAACAUGGCGCGAAAAUAUGUC